UACGUAGGCAGCAAGCGUUGUUCGGAGUUACUGGGCGUAAAGAGUGCGUAGGCGGUCCUCUAAGUUUGGUGUGAAAUCUCCCGGCUCAACCGGGAGGGUGCGCCGAAAACUGGAGGGCUCGAGUGUGGGAGAGGUAAGCGGAAUUCCUGGUGUAGCGGUGAAAUGCGCAGAUAUCAGGAGGAACACCGGUGGCGAAGGCGGAUCUCUGGGCCAUUACUGACGCUGAGGAGCGAAAGCGUGGGGAGCGAACAGG
This 253-nucleotide ribosomal RNA is filed under the name uncultured bacterium. RNAcentral's name for it is "partial 16S ribosomal RNA". It matches the Rfam family "Bacterial small subunit ribosomal RNA", at positions 524 to 776 of the family's 1533-position model. The record is from RNAcentral.